GACUCAUCCUACCUACGUAGUGAGUAGAGUUAUUUUUGGUACUAUCAACGACUACGCAUCAGUUAUGAUGAAGUUCUUAGGAAUACUUUGAUUGAUAAAGGAGGAUUUAUUGCAUAGUCCUUAAAUUAGUUUGCGACUAAAUGAUACGCUAUUACUAGGACGAUAGCAAUAUCAAGUGUAGGUCAUUAUGUGCUAUAUACAUUAGUUGUCCUCGUAACCAAAUGAUAUGGAGAUACUGGUAUGACAUGCAGG
This 252-nucleotide long non-coding RNA is filed under the name Elaeis guineensis (African oil palm). RNAcentral describes it as "long non-coding RNA (EGUI_LNC082119)". Lineage: Eukaryota; Viridiplantae; Streptophyta; Magnoliopsida; Arecales; Arecaceae. The record is from RNAcentral.